CUCAAAGGAAUUGACGGGGGCCCGCACAAGCAGUGGAUUAUGUGGUUAAUUCGACGCAACGCGAAGAACCUUACCAGGAUUUGACAUCCAACUAACGAAGUAGAGAUACAUUAGGUGCCCUUCGGGGAAAGUUGAGACAGGUGGUGCAUGGUUGUCGUCAGCUCGUGUCGUGAGAUGUUGGGUUAAGUCCCGCAACGAGCGCAGCCCCUAUUGUUAGUUGCUACGCAAGAGCACUCUAGCGAGACUGCCGUUGACAAAACGGAGGAAGGCGGGGACGACGUCAAAUCAUCAUGCCCUUUAUGUCCUGGGCUACACACGUAAUACAAUGGCCGUCAACAGAGGGAAGCAAAACCGCGAGGUGGAGCAAAUCCCUAAAAACGGUCUCAGUUCGGAUUGCAGGCUGCAACUCGCCUGCAUGAAGCUGGAAUUGCUAGUAAUCGCGGAUCAGCAUGCCGCGGUGAAUACGUUCCCGGGCCU
RNAcentral lists this ribosomal RNA (477 nucleotides) under uncultured bacterium. RNAcentral's name for it is "bacterial SSU rRNA". It matches the Rfam family "Bacterial small subunit ribosomal RNA", at positions 900 to 1381 of the family's 1533-position model. The record is from RNAcentral.